ACUGUCAAUGUUAAUCGGCACCUGCAUCAAGUGAACAAUUUAAUCAAAUUAAUCAAAUACUAGCCUUUAGAGGCUUUUGUACCAUCCCUGAUAUGUGGCCCUUUCGAACACCUUUCGAUUAUUGUACAAACAUAACUUCAAAAGCCAGUGCAACGAAAACCAAAAGAAUUAGACCUUUUUAACCAGGACGUUUAUACAAGUCAUCGCAUUUUCCAAGCUGCCAAAGUUGAAAUUGAUGUUAAAGAUGGUGCCAUGAAAAAGAUGAAACAGGUUUUGAAUUGGUAAUAAAUUCAAUUUUUUUCGCCGGAAUAAGAGUUUGGGGUCAACAAAUUUUUUUGUAAGUAACUCGUUUGUUUUAGGGCUAUUAAUCAUCACUGCUAUUAAAGGCAUUCACUCACUAUCGGUCGCUCCUGCUGUAUGUCCCAUUUCAAUUCAUAGCAGAAUUGCAACAGCGCAUUUGAAUUUUUCGGACCGAAAAAUAAAGCACAAAUUGAAAGUUUCUGUAAAAGAUAAGAAUUUUGUGUUAAACUAAAUCUCAAAGACACGUUCUGAGCUAAGAAAACCCACCAGAAACUCUCAAUUUGUGCUCCAUUUCACUCCAAAAAAUUCAUUUGCGCUGUUGCAAAAUUCUACUAUGAACUGAAAUGGAAUAUACACUGCAUAAAUGAAUUAGUUUAUUAAAUAACUAUUAAAUCAGUUGUUAAAAUAUGAUUUAUUUUCAUUUCAUUACAUCAAAGCAACGAAUUAUUUUGCCUAUUUCACAAUUUUUUCUACUCUAAAAUAAAUUUUAUCAAUUGUAUUCAGGAGAAAAGUGUUCGGAUCCAGUUCAACCCGCUUUGUUAUGGGACUAACAGACACUUUAAAAUUUUUCACAACUGAUGCAAUCCCUAACUUAGACUGCAUAGUUCCAAAUCGCAUUCCAAUACAAUUUCUUGGUCCAUCCCCAAAUGGCAAAUAAACGAACGGAUGUCUCAAUUUUUUAUUUUCUUCACUAAACCUCUCAGGAUCAAAUUUCUCAGGAUCUGGAUAAUACUCAGGAUCCCUGUGAACUCCUAUUGCAGAAAUAAGGAUGGGAGUCCCUUUUUCAAUGAUUGUGCUAGUUCCUGGAAGGGUGUAGUCUUUAACACAGCGGCGAUUCAAAGUUUGACCUGGGGGAUAUUUUCGAAGGGUUUCUG
This is a long non-coding RNA of Tribolium castaneum (red flour beetle), 1175 nucleotides long. RefSeq lists it as uncharacterized. The record is from RefSeq and is a predicted model, not a curated record. NCBI's taxonomy places the organism in Eukaryota, Metazoa, Arthropoda, Insecta, Coleoptera, Tenebrionidae. The transcript has 2 exons.